Molecule: ribosomal RNA, 241 nt
Filed under: uncultured bacterium
Lineage: Bacteria
Description: partial 16S ribosomal RNA
Rfam family: Bacterial small subunit ribosomal RNA
Source: RNAcentral
CGAACGCCCCGCAAGGGGAGUGGCAGACGGGUGAGUAACGCGUGGGAACGUGCCCUAAGGUACGGAACAACUCCGGGAAACUGGAGCUAAUACCGUAUGUGCCCGAGAGGGGAAAGAUUUAUCGCCUUGGGAUCGGCCCGCGUCUGAUUAGCUAGUUGGUAGGGUAACGGCCUACCAAGGCUACGAUCAGUAGCUGGUCUGAGAGGAUGGCCAGCCACACUGGGACUGAGACACGGCCCAG